RNAcentral lists this small RNA (133 nucleotides) under Rhizobium laguerreae. RNAcentral describes it as "sRNA ar35". It matches the Rfam family "Alphaproteobacterial sRNA ar35". Lineage: Bacteria; Pseudomonadati; Pseudomonadota; Alphaproteobacteria; Hyphomicrobiales; Rhizobiaceae. The record is from RNAcentral.
AAGGUCAUGAGCACUGAAUUUCUUUGCUCGCAAGGCCACAUCGCUGAAAUGCUUUUGACCACGGAUGUACUGGCACUGGUACGAAGGCGAUCAUGAGCAAGGUCGGUGCGGUAUCGCCACGGCCUUUUUUUGC